UACGUAGGGGGCAAGCGUUGUCCGGAUUUAUUGGGCGUAAAGCGCGUGUAGGCGGCCAUACAGGUCCGUUGUGAAAACUCGAGGCUUAACCUCGAGACGUCGAUGGAAACCGUAUGGCUAGAGUCCGGAAGAGGAGAGUGGAAUUCCUGGUGUAGCGGUGAAAUGCGCAGAUAUCAGGAAGAACACCCGUGGCUAAGGCGGCUCUCUAGUACGGUACUGACGCUGAGACGCGAAAGCGUGGGGAGCGAACAGG
This 253-nucleotide ribosomal RNA is filed under the name uncultured bacterium. RNAcentral's name for it is "partial 16S ribosomal RNA". It matches the Rfam family "Bacterial small subunit ribosomal RNA", at positions 524 to 776 of the family's 1533-position model. The record is from RNAcentral.